CAUAGUAUGGAGGAAAUAUUUGGAACCAGUUCACUUAGGAGUUUAGAAAAUGUUGCAUCAACACUUUCAUCCUUGGUCUUGGGUCUAGAUUUCACCCACUUCUGAAGUGCUUGACAUUGGAAGAUACAAAAAGGGACUGAGCAUGUGCAGAGUAAGAAGGAACUCAGCAACAUGGAGAAACUCAGGCAGCCAGAUUCAGAUGAUCAGAGAACUUACCGUGAAGCCAGAGGCAUCUUACUAUAACAGAUUCAUAACUGAAGGAUGAAGGCGGAAGUUCUGCUCGAGAUGGUAAAGCCCUAUUGGAGAUCAGCAGAAAAUAUAAAUGAAGGCAUAGACCAAGUGCAGAUGACCGGGGAGUGGGUUUAUGGGGACUUUUGGGUCCAGAGAACACAUAUCCUAUCUAAAGUGGGUAGCUGCUACUCUUGCUCAUUUUUAGUGGAUUAAUUUUUUUCUAAAAAGGUCAUGCAUGCAGAUAUUCCAGUUAAAUCUUCAUUUGAAAAACAUGUUGCCACAUCUAGACAUUGAGCAUCAAUGAUUGUUAACACAACAAAAAGUGGGAUGAUGAAUGUAUCACUGCCCAUAAAGCAGUCUUGUAAUAAAAUUGGAAUAUGAACGCAAUGUAACUUCUGGAUCCAACUCUCAAUUUACAGCAAUCCAGAGAACACAGGAAGUCGUUAAACUACACCACAGGGAUGCAAUCAGCACAGACCAGACUGUAGGGGACAACAGGACCAACAACAGCUUCUUCAACAAAUAAUUAAAAGGAAAGAAAAGAGGUGGAGGGUAAAUUUAUAGGUCAAAAGAGGCUUAAGAGCUACAUUAACCAAUUACAAUUGCACAGAUUUUCAACUGCACAGUGGUCAAAACCCCAAUCCCCAUAUUGUUUAAUGCUACCCUAUAUAUGCAACUAAUUUUCAAUUCUUGCUUCUCAUUCUCAUAAAAAACUAGAACAUGUUAAUUAUACUUUAGAGAAAUAAAGAUAUAUAGACUACAAUUUUCACUUGGAGAGUAAGAGACAUAGAAAUCAAACCUUAAAGAACAAUGCGAUAUCACCCUCUUGCUCAGUGUUUCAAUAUUUAAACUGUAUAAAUGUAUUUCUCAUUGUUAGACUGUUUGAAUAUUUCCUCAGAUUUUCAAUCUUGCAAUACAAUGCUUCUGAGUAACAACAGAUUCAAAUUAGUAAAUGGCAGCUCCAAAGUGUAUUUCUGAGCAAAUCAUCCCCAGGGCCUGCCAAUCAAAGACCAUGAUAUAUUCAGAGUACUUAUUGCUAUUAUACAACACUUUGCAAAAGAAGGCCAUUUGGAGACCAAUAAUACCUUUAUCCAGUGUCCCUGGGGACAACUUAGGUCAUUCAUUGUUAGAAUCACUGACUGCUAAUUCCCUAAAUCCUACUUGAGGGAAUUAAAGAUUCCAGAGAUGUCAUUGCUGGAGACCUUCUUGAGCCCCAUUGCAUGAAAAGUGGCCAGUACGGCGACUACACUUACAUAGUGCUUGGUAAAGGCUGACUCCCUUCCCUCCACCCUGUCCAUUACUCAAUGAAGCCUGUCUAACGGAUAAGCAAAAUGAUUUAACACAGUGCCUCUCAGUCUGGUGAUGGGGGGUUAAGGAUGGGAGUAGAGGACACAUAUUAAGCUUGCCUAGGGAAAUUGUUUUAGGGUCUACAACCUUUCCCUGUAGGUGAAUCAGAAUUUGAGAACUGAAAUCUGAAAACCUCCCCAGAUGGUUUUAGUAUCAUCUCUCCAGUGAUACCCAUACUCCUGCCCUGCACACCAACAAAAUCCCUGUUUGAAAACCACUGCUCUAACAAAAUGAAUCUCAGAAUCUUAAAUGAGAGAACUUCAAAUGUUGCUAUUCUGUUAUAAUCCAUCAUCUACCUUAGGAGAGCUGUCAUUCUGUCAGUUACUUAUGCAUAUCAAAUUUAAAAGUAAAUCUUAACAUCACUACAAUUAUAUUCGAAUGGUCUCUGUUAAACAAGACUUCUAUUUCAUGCCACAAAUGUUAGAAUUAUCUUUAUGUUUAACAUUGCUAUGAUUAUUAGAAAAAUAAAAUAAAAUGCUUGCAGUCAGUUCAAGGAAUACUUUCCUAUGAAACAGCAUAGUUACAGUUCAGGUGUAAAAUAACUCACACAGAAAUAUAGGAGAAGGGAAGAAAAGACUGUUUAACCAUUACUAACUAGGGAAUUAUUUAAAUAACGAACAAGAAAGCAGAAAUUGGUAUAAGCAAAUAAAUAGAGGCUAUAUAUGCAGAUACAAUAGUGCUAGUAUAGUUUAUAUAUGGUAAUAGCUUAAUAGUGCGGUGGCAUGGAAGUGAAUGAUCCCUAAUGGACAAUUAAUCAAAUCUACCAGAGUUAAUUCUGCCUCCUGUUGGACGCUUCCAUGGUCUGUGGUUAGCGCCUUCCACUUCCGGUUCUUCUACCUUUGGUAUUUUUCUUUUGAAACAUCUUGAGGAGGCUAUGUAAUCCACUCUGCAGUUUCCCUAUCAGACUGAUGAUUUGUAAAGCAGAAAAUACAUUAACAUCGAUUCUUUGGCUUUCCCUUUGGAGGCUCAUAGUCAAGAUAAGAAAGGUUUGAUUAUUCUCAAAAUUCCUGCAAAACCUCUGCUGUUUCCAUCCUCUUUUUCUUCACGUUCCUCCCACCUCCUUCUCAACAUGCUCUCCUUUCCUUAGUCCAGCAGCUUGCAAAGCGACAGGCUGACCCGGUGUCAUCCCGGCUGUGCAAGAGUGGCAGGAAGUCUUCCUGAUCGGCUUGGGGACUCCGAAUUUGGCAGCACAAGGUGCCUGGGCUGUAUAAUCUUUUUGUGAGAGGUGUAUAUGUAACUACCUUGGGUUCAUGAUUUCUUAUUUCUACCAAAAAUAAAUUUUAAGGGUCCU
Long non-coding RNA from Gorilla gorilla gorilla (western lowland gorilla), 2869 nucleotides. RefSeq lists it as uncharacterized. The record is from RefSeq and is a predicted model, not a curated record. The transcript is spliced from 4 exons. Lineage: Eukaryota; Metazoa; Chordata; Mammalia; Primates; Hominidae.